This is an RNA transcript of Ficedula albicollis (Collared flycatcher), 6127 nucleotides long. It is a transcript of the gene named mitogen-activated protein kinase kinase kinase MLT, with no coding region annotated. The record is from RefSeq and is a predicted model, not a curated record. The transcript is spliced from 13 exons. NCBI's taxonomy places the organism in Eukaryota, Metazoa, Chordata, Aves, Passeriformes, Muscicapidae.
GCCGGGAGGGCAGGGCAGGGCAGAGCGGUGUCCGCCGAGCAGCGCCCGGGGGGGACGGCCCGGCGCGGGAAAGGUUUUGCUGUGGUAUAUUUUGUCAUUAUGAGAUGUCGUCUACCAGUGCUUCAUUUGUGCAAAUUAAAUUUGAUGACUUGCAGUUUUUUGAGAACUGCGGUGGAGGGAGUUUUGGGAGUGUCUACCGAGCCCGAUGGAUUUCUCAGGACAAGGAGGUGGCAGUAAAGAAGCUGCUCAAAAUAGAAAAAGAGGCAGAAAUACUCAGUGUGCUCAGUCACAAAAACAUCAUUCAGUUCUAUGGAGCUGUCAUUGAACCUCCAAAUUAUGGCAUAGUUACAGAGUAUGCUUCUGCUGGCUCACUGUUUGAUUACAUUAAUAGUAACAAAAGUGAAGAGAUGGAUAUGGAUCAUAUCAUGACCUGGGCCACUGACAUAGCUAAAGGAAUGCACUAUUUACACAUGGAAGCUCCAGUCAAAGUUAUCCACAGGGACCUGAAGUCCAGGAAUGUUGUUAUAGCUGCUGAUGGUGUGUUAAAGAUCUGUGAUUUUGGUGCCUCAAGAUUCCACUCCCAUACGACACACAUGUCAUUAGUGGGCACUUUCCCAUGGAUGGCUCCAGAAGUUAUUCAAAGUCUUCCAGUGUCUGAAACAUGUGACACGUACUCGUACGGAGUGGUUCUCUGGGAGAUGCUAACAAGGGAGGUCCCCUUUAAAGGCUUGGAAGGAUUACAAGUAGCUUGGCUUGUAGUGGAAAAAAACGAGAGAUUAACCAUUCCAAGCAGUUGUCCCAGAAGUUUUGCAGAACUGAUGCACCAAUGUUGGGAUGCUGAUUCAAAGAAAAGACCAUCUUUCAAGCAGAUUAUUUCAAUCCUGGAAUCUAUGUCAAAUGACAGCAACCUUCCAGACCAGUGUAACUCAUUCCUGCAUAACAAGGCGGAGUGGAGAUGUGAAAUUGAGGCAACCUUAGAGAGACUAAAGAAACUGGAGCGUGAUCUGAGCUUUAAAGAGCAGGAACUAAAGGAACGGGAGAGACGUUUGAAGAUGUGGGAGCAGAAGUUAACUGAACAAUCAAAUACUCCUUUUUUCUUACCUCUUGCUGCAAGAAUGUCUCAGGAGUCUUACUUUGAAUCUAAAACAGAGGAGUCAAACAGUGCAGAGAUGUCAUGUCAGAUCACAGCAACAAGUAACGGGGAGGUAGCUGGCAUGAACCAAAGUCUGAAGGCCUUGAUGAUGACGGGCUUUGGGGAUAUCUUCUCUCUGAACCAAGCAGGAUCUGUCCUGCAUUCUGGAAUGCAGAUAAACAUGCAAGCCAAAAAGAAUUCUUCUAAAACCACCUCUAUGAGAAAAGGGAAGAAAAUCAACAUGGCUUUGGGUUUCAGUGAAUUCGACUGGUCAGAUGACGAUGAUGAUGAUGAUGAUUUUGAUGACACAGAUGAUAGCAGCGAAUGAAAUAAGUUGUAGAAUUAACCCUGAAAUCGUUUUAGCAAAGCAAAACAAUAAAGUUUUAGAACAAGAAUCCUGUCAGUUUGGUCUGUUUAAAUCCUGUAAAAGAACAAAAAACCAACAAACAACAAUGAUAUUUACCAGGGUGAGCAUAUUUGUAUGUAGAAAGAUAUGUUUUUAUUUUGGUUGUGCCGACUUAAUUCUACUUUGAUGAAAUUUGGAACUAAACUUUCCCAACUAAUUGAGAUUAUUAGUUACUAUUUAAUGAUUCUGUCUAUAAUUCCUAGUGCCUGAUUACAGAAACUAUGGCUUGAUAAAUUUAAGAUCUGGAAACACUGGGAGAAACUUCAAUGCCUUUAAUGUACUUCAAAUUUUUCUUUUGUGUUUUUUGUCAUUUCCCUUACCCCCUUAAUUGUCAGUCACAUGCAUAUGCUUGUACUUCCAAAUUUGCUAUUCUCUGCAUCCAUUCUUUCUUACUGUUGUAGUGAAGGGGUUUGCUGUGUUUCUAAUUUACAGCCUUUUUAAAGGCAACAUUGUGGGAAGACACAUACAGGUUUCCGGGAAGAGAGAAGCUGGGGGUGGGGGGGAAGGGAGGGGUUGGUUAAAGAUAUAAUUUAAAAACUGAAUAGCAGCAGAACCCAGAUAAUCCCUAUUAGUAGAUGAUUUGUAUAAAUGUUCUUUUUUUCCUCCCUCACGUGUAUGUGCAUGUGUAUAUAAUUCACUCUCCCAAAGUAAACUGCAAUCAGACCUCUGCAUCUAUUAUCAGAUAUUGUGAUCUAGAAGCUAAUUUUCGGUUAUGUUGAUGUGAAUCCAUGAAGCCUCAUUAACUUUGAUGGAUUUAUUCUUGUACCUGAGAGCAAAAACCGGUGUUUGUAAAUUUUGAUUGUUGUAUGUGCUAAACAGCGUGUGCCAUCCUUAGGAAAGGACAAAGAGAUGCUACUGUGACAUUUCAGCUUGGGCCCUACUCCUGUGGCUUGUGGAAAUUAUCGUAGUAGAAUCUGGCAGUAAUGUCAGGAGUAUUUACUAGUCUCUGCAUAACUAUUUUUUGCAGCUACAGUACUUUCAAAGUAUUGUCACUGCUGUUACAGCUUACCAUAAAAUUCAGUGUGUAACAAUCUGCUGCAAUAAUUACCUGCCAGGCACUUACAUUGAGAGCAGUGAGGAUGUUUCUCCUGAUGACCCCUUUAGUGGUGAUGCAGAAGGAGGGAGGGAAACCAGUGCGAACACAGAUGCAGGUUAGAAAGGAAAAUGUUGUAAAAUAUUUGCCAAGGAAGAAGGGCAGCAUUUCAAAAGAAAAAUGUUACUGUGUAGUUCAGCAGUAGUAGGAAUAAGCCAUCAAAAUUCCAUUCUCAAUUACUGGAAGGGUUUCUUUUAUAAAACUUCUGGUUUUGAGUGGCUUCUUUAAUUAUAGACUUGCCUGUUACAUAGCUCUAACCUACAUAUUAUGGUGUUGUGUGGUUAGCUUAGAGAAAAAUGGAUACAUUAGAUAACAGCAGGCCUGAAAUCAUUACCUGUUCACUCAACAAAACAAAGUGGGCCCCUCUUAUGGUUGUGAGAAAGAAUUGUUUUAUCUUUAAGUGUCAGCACUGAUCUGGUCACCUGCAAGGCACAAGUGCUGCGCUUCAAGCUGGCCUACUCAAUUCUGUUUGCACAGGAUUAGACCUACCUGAGAUGCGUGGUUCCUGCAGGAUGUCAUUCAACCUUCUUCCAAACACUCCCAAAUCUAUUGACUUGAACCUAACCCUCUUGUAUCUGGAAGCUUUUCUCAUUAUGAAAUUAUCAUUUAAAUGAUGCAGUAGAUGUUCAAAGUAUCCCAAGGAGAAACUUUGGCUCAGGUGGAGAUGGCUUCUUAGGUCCAUCAAAGCAACCCUAUUUUAGGGAGAAAAAGAGACUUGGAAGGGCAAAUAAUGAAAUGGAAAUAAGAUCAAAUAGCCUUUUCCAGUGUAGAUUUGUACUAUUUUUUUAAGUCUAUGUCUGCUUACACCUAAAGCAAUGAUACUAUUUUUGUAACUGCCACUUUGCACUCAGCAAAAUUUGAUGGAUUUGUGUAAUGUAAUGUGUGCACUUUAGGUCUUAAGAUAUGUAUCAUUGUGCAUAGAUUACUGUACCACAUAAACAGUGUAGGGUUGUACAACUGAAAAUAAAAUUUGGUUCAGUACAUUUUGAAUUCAAAAACCCUGAAAAAUCUGUUCCUAGCAUUGAUAUUUUGCACUUUUUUGGUGUUUGACAAUUUUGAAGCACUUCAUGCACGUUUCUGUUUGUGUGGAUUUUAACUGAAUUUGUAAAUUCACUCCUUAAUCUUUACAGAAAUAAAAAUAGUUUUUAAGUAGCAUGACACAGAUUUUCAUAGUUACAACAUCACAAGGUUUAAGUCUGUCUUCAAGGUUUUGUGCUUACCCAGGGAUGUGACUUACAUCAGCAAAUAUCAUCAGAAUGUGGUAACAUGAUUGUAAUAAUUUCUACUAUCUACUUAUUUCAAUAUUUUUUAAUGAAGCAAGAUGGAUUUUUUUCCCCUUUGGCUUUUUUCCCCAUGUUGUUUCUCAAAGCAAAUAGAACUGCAUUAAGGGAAAAGUUAAGCUCUUUUAAAACUUCCUCGUGCAUUUAAAGUAGCAAAGGUGACCUCUGAAUUGUAGAUAAGGUGAUAACAAGCUCUUCUGAUGCAGUUGAGAUAGUGUUACACUUAGGAUAUUGGCUAUGCUUACUAAAAAAACAGUGGUAUUAUUUGCAUUUUUACUCACCUGUGAUAGUUUCACACCAGGUGUCUCCAGCUUACAAGCCACUUAUCAUAUGUGAGAAUCAAUGUGUUGUUUCUGCCUCUGAAAUGCUACUCAAUAGAUUAAGGUGUUGAAAAUGGUGGGCAGGUUGGAGGAGGUCAGAGUAUUUUAAUCCUUCAUACCUGAUUUUGCUCUGCAGUGUAUCCCAGUCCAUCUUCUGCCUGUCUCACCCCCAGGUUAUACAAAUCUCCACAACAGUCCACAGCCAUGUAGUGUGUCAGCUUAUGAAAGCAUUAACCAAACCCAGAAGGCAUUUCUGUUGCUGCUCUGGGCCAAAGCCAGGACAAACCACUAAAAGCCUUCCUGUGCCUUCUACACCUCUCAGCUCACUAGACCCUGCCUGGCCUUUUGGGUUCCCAGUUUCCUCUGUCUUCCAUAAAGCCUGAAGGUAUUUCUAGUAAAACAAUAUCACUGCAUUUGAUGGAGAGGAAAAGUAAGAACCAGGCCUGAACUUGGCGUUUUUACCAGGCUGCUGUACUGCAGACAUUAACUUAGGUGGGUAAGUGGCCUCAGAGAAGAAUGAGGAGGAUCGACUUUUGGCUUGCUUAAUGGUCAGCUGGGACCAAGACAGGUCUUUUCUUUUCCUUCAGCAGUGGUGAAAAAAAAAUGGAAAUGAGACUUAAUGAAGGAAAACUUUUGAUCUAGUCGUUUUUGUGACGAUGACAUCGCUAAUUUCUUGGAGUAGCAAGUGCCUUAAGGUACGGUGUGCUGCAUCGCCAGCCAUUGUUGCUCCCUGACAGGGAGUUGUCCGCUCUGGACAGGAAGGGCUUUCUGGAGGUGAGGUCUGGCACGGCCUCUUGUCAUAGUCAUGUUCAUGGCUCGUCAUUUGCUUAUCAUUCCAGAGGUUUUCUUAGGUGUUGAUUCCCUUUCCUUCUGGGUUUUAAAGUGUUUGUUCUGAGUUAAGUAUCUGAUGCAGUAAUGAUGGGUGUGGCUCUCAGCAGUAGCAGUAGAUCUGUAGUGUGCGUACAGCUGUUAAGUACUGAGCACUGUGCGUCUUUAGUGCUGUACUUCCUUUAUCUGUAAUCAGGCAGCUUUUACAGGUUUUUAAUAAGACCUCUUGACUUGACAGAGGUUUUAACUACAGUCCUAGGUAGAAUGUUCAUGUAGAAAAAGUAAAUUCAUUUAGUAAGUUUCACAGCCCUUAAAAUGCACUGGUAGGAAUCUGGAGGAGAGACCUUUCCCCUUUCCCCCAGGCUUCAACUUAGUGUACACUGUAAAAUCUGCACAGAGAUUUCUGAUGUGUGAAGAUUUAAUUUUAAAACUGUAGAACCAACAACUUUCUUUUAACAUUUUAUAUUGUGUGCUAAAUACUCAUAUGCCUUUUAAAGUCAGUUAUAGUCCACUGCAUUUCUUGCUUUUGCACUACUGAAGAAGUUUUGUACUGAAUAGUAUGAGUCUAUGCUAUUUACACUUCAGGUUUGAACUGAUGGAAUUCGAACAGAAAAUAUUUUCACAGUGUUAGAAAACUUCAUUUUCCCUUCUGAAAAAGCAAAGCUGAGUGCAAUGCCUAUGCCAAGACUUGUGCUGUAAACUGAAUAUAUCAUUUGUGUGGAACAUGCAAUGUUACACUUCUGUGUGGUAAAAUCUUGCAGUGUCAGUUAUCCUCUUUAUUGCACUUGACAUACCAUGUCUUGUUUUAUUCCCACUGUGGAUUCGAUUUUCCAGUGUAAAACCAAAGCAAGCAAACAAAAAGAAAUCAUACAAUGUAUUCAUUUUCCUUGAUUGGUGUCAUAAACUUUCUUUUGGUGUGAACUUUUCCCUUGCUUCUCUUUUGUUCCAAACUUCUAUUUUGCAAUAAACAUUUUGACAGUAAAUUUUAUGCAUUUGUGUCACUGUGUAAAACACUGGUGUUCCAUGAGGUUCCUUAUUGUCUGCUGGUUUAAGCCACUUUUUUGUAUU